CCAGAUUGUGUUGGUAGGAACGAAAAAGGAUCUGCAAACCAGUCCAACGGAUAAGAUUACUCAAAGUAGACGAGUGUUAGAUACUGGAGCAUUUGCUUACAUUGAGACAUCAGCCAAACUAAACCAUGGAGUUACUGAGGCAUUUGAGAAGGCCAUCUACGCAGGCCUGUUUGAAUUGAAUGGCAAGCCCAAGAAGAAACCAAUAUGUAACUUUCUCUGACGUCAUCAUAUCAAAAUAUAUAUAUUCGGCUUGUCUGUUUCUUUUAUAUCAAAUAAACUUUAAAACGG
Eurytemora carolleeae is the source of this 288-nucleotide long non-coding RNA. RefSeq lists it as uncharacterized. The record is from RefSeq and is a predicted model, not a curated record. The transcript is spliced from 3 exons. Lineage: Eukaryota; Metazoa; Arthropoda; Copepoda; Calanoida; Temoridae.